Molecule: ribosomal RNA, 509 nt
Filed under: uncultured Candida
Lineage: Eukaryota; Fungi; Ascomycota; Saccharomycetes; Saccharomycetales
Description: eukaryotic LSU rRNA
Rfam family: Eukaryotic large subunit ribosomal RNA
Source: RNAcentral
AAACCAACAGGGAUUGCCUUAGUAACGGCGAGUGAAGCGGCAAAGGCUCAAAUUUGAAAUCUAGCACUUUCAGUGUUCGAGUUGUAAUUUGAAGAAGGUAACUUUGGAAUUGGCUCUUGUCUAUGUUCCUUGGAACAGGACGUCACAGAGGGUGAGAAUCCCGUGCGAUGAGAUGUCCAAUUCUAUGUAAAGUGCUUUCGAAGAGUCGAGUUGUUUGGGAAUGCAGCUCUAAGUGGGUGGUAAAUUCCAUCUAAAGCUAAAUAUUGGCGAGAGACCGAUAGCGAACAAGUACAGUGAUGGAAAGAUGAAAAGAACUUUGAAAAGAGAGUGAAAAAGUACGUGAAAUUGUUGAAAGGGAAGGGCUUGAGAUCAGACUUGGUAUUUUGUGUUCCUUAUCCUUCUUGGGAUUAGGUUCCUCACAGCUUACCGGGCCAGCAUCGGUUGGAUGGCAGGAUAAUGACAUUGGAAUGUAGCUUUGCUUCGGUGAAGUGUUAUAGACUUUGUUGUAA